Molecule: transfer RNA, 62 nt
Filed under: Gilpinia sp.
Lineage: Eukaryota; Metazoa; Arthropoda; Insecta; Hymenoptera; Diprionidae
Description: tRNA-Ser
Source: RNAcentral
GAAAUAUACAAUUUAAAAGCUUCUAACUUUUUAAUAAAUGAUUAAAGUUCAUUUAUAUUUCU